AGCGGCGGACGGGUGAGUAACACGUGGGUAACCUGCCUGUAAGACUGGGAUAACUCCGGGAAACCGGAGCUAAUACCGGAUAGUUCCUUGAACCGCAUGGUUCAAGGAUGAAAGACGGUUUCGGCUGUCACUUACAGAUGGACCCGCGGCGCAUUAGCUAGUUGGUGGGGUAAUGGCUCACCAAGGCAACGAUGCGUAGCCGACCUGAGAGGGUGAUCGGCCACACUGGGACUGAGACACGGCCCAGACUCCUACGGGAGGCAGCAGUAGGGAAUCUUCCGCAAUGGACGAAAGUCUGACGGAGCAACGCCGCGUGAGUGAUGAAGGUUUUCGGAUCGUAAAGCUCUGUUGUUAGGGAAGAACAAGUGCGAGAGUAACUGCUCGCACCUUGACGGUACCUAACCAGAAAGCCACGGCUAACUACGUGCCAGCAGCCGCGGUAAUACGUAGGUGGCAAGCGUUGUCCGGAAUUAUUGGGCGUAAAGGGCUCGCAGGCGGUUUCUUAAGUCUGAUGUGAAAGCCCCCGGCUCAACCGGGGAGGGUCAUUGGAAACUGGGAAACUUGAGUGCAGAAGAGGAGAGUGGAAUUCCACGUGUAGCGGUGAAAUGCGUAGAGAUGUGGAGGAACACCAGUGGC
RNAcentral lists this ribosomal RNA (636 nucleotides) under Bacillus pumilus. RNAcentral's name for it is "bacterial SSU rRNA". It matches the Rfam family "Bacterial small subunit ribosomal RNA", at positions 94 to 716 of the family's 1533-position model. The record is from RNAcentral. Lineage: Bacteria; Bacillati; Bacillota; Bacilli; Caryophanales; Bacillaceae.